GACGAACGCUGGCGGCGUGCUUAACACAUGCAAGUCGAACGGAAAGGCCUUUUCGGAGGUACUCGAGUGGCGAACGGGUGAGUAACACGUGGGUGAUCUGCCCUGCACUCUGGGAUAAGCCUGGGAAACUGGGUCUAAUACCGGAUAGGACCGCACUUUAGUGUGUGUGGUGGAAAGUUUUUUCGGUGUAGGAUGAGCCCGCGGCCUAUCAGCUUGUUGGUGGGGUAAUGGCCUACCAAGGCGGCGACGGGUAGCCGGACUGAGAGGUUGGUCGGCCACAUUGGGACUGAGAUACGGCCCAGACUCCUACGGGAGGCAGCAGUGGGGAAUAUUGCACAAUGGGCGCAAGCCUGAUGCAGCGACGCCGCGUGGGGGAUGACGGCCUUCGGGUUGUAAACUCCUUUCGCCAGGGACGAAGCGUUUUGUGACGGCACCUGGAGAAGAAGCACCGGCUAACUACGUG
Molecule: ribosomal RNA, 463 nt
Filed under: uncultured bacterium
Lineage: Bacteria
Description: partial 16S ribosomal RNA
Rfam family: Bacterial small subunit ribosomal RNA
Source: RNAcentral